Molecule: long non-coding RNA, 567 nt
Organism: Acinonyx jubatus (cheetah)
Lineage: Eukaryota; Metazoa; Chordata; Mammalia; Carnivora; Felidae
Exons: 2
Source: RefSeq, a predicted model, not a curated record
UAAUGUAUUUAUAAUUCUUACUUCAUUUCUUCUGAUACCUAAUGUAACCCCCCAAAAUCUCAAUCCAGUUUGAGCUUUGAUCUCUUUUGAAGGAUGUCUCUCUUUUACCCAAAUAGGUUUAGAAUUGUUUUGUUGGACCGCUCUUACAAAUACUUUUUUUUUUUUUUUUUAGUAUUUCAGACUCAGAAAAAAGCUGCAAGAAUAAGAUUAGUAAAAAGAACACCCAAAUACCUUUAAGGCAGAUUCACCCCUCACUGGCGUUUGGUCCCAUCUCUGUUUGUUCUCAAUCUCUUUCCGCAUAAUGCGCACACGCAGGCGCGCAGAUGCACGCAGCACGCACGCACAGACGCGCACAGACGCGCACAGACGCACACGUGCAAGCAUGUGCGCAGACACGCAUAGGCGCGCGCACGCACCUUCUCCCCGAAGCGCUCGUGGGUAAGUUAUGUGCCUUUUACCCCGAACUACUUCAUCGAGUCGCCUAAGACGAGGGAGACUCUGUUUUCAACUUCAGUAACUUAACACUAUACUUCUUAAGCGCCGACCGCGUGGCAGACCGGAGUCCAG